AACGAACGCUGGCGGCGUGCCUAACACAUGCAAGUCGAGCGAGAAAGUAGCAAUACGAGUAAAGCGGCGGACGGGUGAGUAACACGUAGGUAAUCUACCCUGAAGUGGGGAAUAACGUUUCGAAAGGAACGCUAAUACCGCAUACCAAUUUCAUUCGAUGGUUUGAAAUUGAAAGGAGGCUUCGCAAGAAGCUUUCGCUUUAGGAUGAGCCUGCGUCCCAUUAGCUAGUUGGUGAGGAACGGCUCACAAAGGCUUCGAUGGGUAGCUGGUCUGAGAGGACGACCAGCCACACUGGAACUGACACACGGUCCAGACUCCUACGGGAGGCAGCAGUGGGGAAGUAUUGCGCAAUGGAGGAAACUCUGACGCAGCGACGCCGCGUGAAGGAUGAAGUCCU
RNAcentral lists this ribosomal RNA (397 nucleotides) under uncultured bacterium. RNAcentral describes it as "bacterial SSU rRNA". It matches the Rfam family "Bacterial small subunit ribosomal RNA", at positions 29 to 417 of the family's 1533-position model. The record is from RNAcentral.